This is a ribosomal RNA of 554 nucleotides. The stretch from base 191 to 344 matches the Rfam family "5.8S ribosomal RNA".
CCUGCGGAGGGAUCAUUACUGAGUUUACGCUCUACAACCCUUUGUGAACAUACCUAUAACUGUUGCUUCGGCGGGUAGGGUCUCCGCGACCCUCCCGGCCUCCCGCCUCCGGGCGGGUCGGCGCCCGCCGGAGGAUAACCAAACUCUGAUUUAACGACGUUUCUUCUGAGUGGUACAAGCAAAUAAUCAAAACUUUUAACAACGGAUCUCUUGGUUCUGGCAUCGAUGAAGAACGCAGCGAAAUGCGAUAAGUAAUGUGAAUUGCAGAAUUCAGUGAAUCAUCGAAUCUUUGAACGCACAUUGCGCCCGCCAGCAUUCUGGCGGGCAUGCCUGUUCGAGCGUCAUUUCAACCCUCAAGCUCUGCUUGGUGUUGGGGCCCUACAGCUGAUGUAGGCCCUCAAAGGUAGUGGCGGACCCUCUCGGAGCCUCCUUUGCGUAGUAACUUUACGUCUCGCACUGGGAUCCGGAGGGACUCUUGCCGUAAAACCCCCAAUUUUCCAAAGGUUGACCUCGGAUCAGGUAAGAAUACCCGCUGAACUUAAGCAUAUCAAUAA